This 69-nucleotide transfer RNA is filed under the name Bos taurus (domestic cattle). It matches the Rfam family "tRNA". From Rfam's summary of the family: Transfer RNA (tRNA) molecules are approximately 80 nucleotides in length. Their secondary structure includes four short double-helical elements and three loops (D, anti-codon, and T loops). The record is from Rfam by way of RNAcentral. Lineage: Eukaryota; Metazoa; Chordata; Mammalia; Artiodactyla; Bovidae. RNAcentral also lists the same sequence under 4 other names.
CCUGGUGGCUCAGACGGUAAAGCAUCUGCCUACAAUGCAGGAGACCUGGGUUCAAUCCCUAGGUCAGGA